Molecule: ribosomal RNA, 425 nt
Filed under: uncultured bacterium
Lineage: Bacteria
Description: bacterial SSU rRNA
Rfam family: Bacterial small subunit ribosomal RNA
Source: RNAcentral
GUGGGGAAUAUUGCACAAUGGGCGAAAGCCUGAUGCAGCAACGCCGCGUGAGCGAUGAAGGCCUUCGGGUCGUAAAGCUCUGUCCUAAGGGAAGAAUUUUGACGGUACCUUGGGAGGAAGCCCCGGCUAACUACGUGCCAGCAGCCGCGGUAAUACGUAGGGGGCAAGCGUUAUCCGGAAUCACUGGGCGUAAAGGGUGCGUAGGCGGCCUUUCAAGUCAGAGGUGAAAGGCUACGGCUCAACCGUAGUAAGCCUUUGAAACUGUAGGGCUUGAGUGCAGGAGAGGAAAGUGGAAUUCCUAGUGUAGCGGUGAAAUGCGUAGAUAUUAGGAGGAACACCAGUGGCGAAGGCGACUUUCUGGACUGUAACUGACGCUGAGGCACGAAAGUGUGGGGAGCAAACAGGAUUAGAAACCCUAGUAGUCC